CAGAACGGUGAACGCCCGUUGUACAACAGUCUCAUUCAUUGCACGGUUACUUGUUAAGGUUGCCUAUUUACGGCUCACAUUCCGUAGACUAGACGGUUCAUUUACGUUAAAACGCGAUUUACAUUUAGCCGAAAAAGAUGUUUACCCCAUAUUUCUAUCCCCCUUUUCUGUUUGCCUUCGGAUAUGCACGAUUGCGUGGAUGAAAAUCGUAUACUGUGGAAAAUUUCACGCUAUACUGAUAAUCGAUUAAUUCGCGAUACCUUGGACAGGCUUUGGCCGUUAUUUUCUAAAUAUACACAAUGUUUUUGUAUUACUCUGUUACUCUUCUUGGUACCCGCCACUUACACGGUAAUAAAUGCACAUACGGAAUUAAGUUACAUGCAUCUAUUCAGCCACAACUAACUGACGCAAUUAAACGGACUCGUCGGUUUUGCGAAAUUCAGUUUCCAUCGUGUUGUAUAUACUUUCCUUUUCACGUGACUCAAUGUCAUGAUAAGAGUGAUGGUACGAGAACUAUUCUCUUUUCCGUUUCCGCGAGUUAUACGCUAACUGUGGUUUCACGCGCACUAACCUCUGCUGAUGUCUGGGCCACGAAUGCGACCCCAACACUUGACAAUGAAGUUUCUCUUUUCCAACAACCGUAGGAUAGAUAUUGUUCUAUUGUUUUGUUUGCGUUCCACUUUGCUUUCGUGCGCGUUAGAGAUUCCACCGGUAUGAUGAACCUUUAAAAAUAUUUUAUCGAACUAGACGUAAUUGAACACAAUACACAAGU
RNAcentral lists this unclassified non-coding RNA (772 nucleotides) under Bombus terrestris (buff-tailed bumblebee). RNAcentral's name for it is "misc RNA ENSBTSG00005023072.1". The record is from RNAcentral. Lineage: Eukaryota; Metazoa; Arthropoda; Insecta; Hymenoptera; Apidae.